GAUGAACGCUGGCGGCGUGCCUAAUACAUGCAAGUCGAGCGAACGGACGAGAAGCUUGCUUCUCUGAUGUUAGCGGCGGACGGGUGAGUAACACGUGGAUAACCUACCUAUAAGACUGGGAUAACUUCGGGAAACCGGAGCUAAUACCGGAUGAUAUUUUGAACCGCAUGGUUCAAAAGUGAAAGACGGUCUUGCUGUCACUUAUAGAUGGAUCCGCGCUGCAUUAGCUAGUUGGUAAGGUAACGGCUUACCAAGGCAACGAUGCAUAGCCGACCUGAGAGGGUGAUCGGCCACACUGGAACUGAGACACGGUCCAGACUCCUACGGGAGGCAGCAGGAGGGAAUCUUCCGCAAUGGGCGAAAGCCUGACGGAGCAACGCCGCGUGAGUGAUGAAGGUCUUCGGAUCGUAAAACUCUGUUAUUAGGGAAGAACAUAUGUGUAAGUAACUGUGCACAUCUUGACGGUACCUAAUCAGAAAGCCACGGCUAACUACGU
This 496-nucleotide ribosomal RNA is filed under the name uncultured bacterium. Its description in RNAcentral is "partial 16S ribosomal RNA". It matches the Rfam family "Bacterial small subunit ribosomal RNA", at positions 28 to 506 of the family's 1533-position model. The record is from RNAcentral.